CAAGGAUAGUCUUUAAAAAGUCGGAACUAGUGACAAAGUUUGCAGAAAAAAAACAGCGCUUUUAUGGAAAGAUGCUUUCAAUGAACAUAACAAUGGUAUCUUCAUAUUUCAGACAAUUAGUUGUAAACCCAUUCGAACACAUAUACCAGCAUUUUUAGUUAUUGAUUAUGUUUGUAAAAAAUAUGAAUGAACAAAAAUAUAUAGUAUACACUGUUUUCCAUUAUACAUUGAUUACUUACUUCACCAAUAUACAAUUAUUGACUAUUUUGUAUUAUUAAUUUCAGGAGAAUUUUCAAACUCGACGAAUAAUCACACAAAAUCAAAAGCAAAAAUUUCGGCAACUUUUUAAACAGGAGAAUGUUCAAACUCGCCGAAUAAUCUCACAAAAUCGGAAGAAAACAUUUGGCGACUUUUUAAACAGGAGAAUUAUCAAACUCGUCGAAUAAUCACACAAAAUCAGAAGCAAACAUUUUGGCGACUUUUUAAACAGGUAUAUUCGAAUGACUGUUA
This is a long non-coding RNA of Mytilus californianus (California mussel), 510 nucleotides long. RefSeq lists it as uncharacterized. The transcript has 3 exons. Lineage: Eukaryota; Metazoa; Mollusca; Bivalvia; Mytilida; Mytilidae. The record is from RefSeq and is a predicted model, not a curated record.